GUCCAUGCAACUGGCGGAUAAGUGGAGUUGACCACGGGGAGCAUGGUUGGAGAAUGUAAGUCGACCGCCUGGGCAACCU
RNAcentral lists this non-coding RNA (79 nucleotides) under uncultured Eubacterium sp. RNAcentral's name for it is "ZMP/ZTP riboswitch". It matches the Rfam family "ZMP/ZTP riboswitch aptamer (pfl RNA motif)". Rfam says of the family: Previously known as pfl RNA. Lineage: Bacteria; Bacillati; Bacillota; Clostridia; Eubacteriales; Eubacteriaceae. The record is from RNAcentral.